This 214-nucleotide ribosomal RNA is filed under the name Bacillus sp. SRB_336. Its description in RNAcentral is "partial 16S ribosomal RNA". It matches the Rfam family "Bacterial small subunit ribosomal RNA", at positions 554 to 767 of the family's 1533-position model. The record is from RNAcentral. Lineage: Bacteria; Bacillati; Bacillota; Bacilli; Caryophanales; Bacillaceae.
UUGGGCGUAAAGCGCGCGCAGGUGGUUUCUUAAGUCUGAUGUGAAAGCCCACGGCUCAACCGUGGAGGGUCAUUGGAAACUGGGAGACUUGAGUGCAGAAGAGGAAAGUGGAAUUCCAUGUGUAGCGGUGAAAUGCGUAGAGAUAUGGAGGAACACCAGUGGCGAAGGCGACUUUCUGGUCUGUAACUGACACUGAGGCGCGAAAGCGUGGGGA